RNAcentral lists this ribosomal RNA (860 nucleotides) under Sulcospira sp. D1720. RNAcentral's name for it is "partial large subunit ribosomal RNA". It matches the Rfam family "Bacterial large subunit ribosomal RNA", at positions 1432 to 2559 of the family's 2925-position model. Lineage: Eukaryota; Metazoa; Mollusca; Gastropoda; Pachychilidae. The record is from RNAcentral.
UAGCAUAGAGUGCCGAAAUAAAAUAAAUUAGUAAGAUAUAGAGCUUAGUAACUUGUUUUUAUAUUUUAGCUCAUUAAGGAUAAGCUUAAUGAGGGGUAUAGGAGAAAUAUACACUUUAAUGGGUUAUAUAGGCCUGAAAUUAGCCACUAUAGCAGAAUUUGUUAUAAAAUAAUUCCUUUAGGAAAGAAAAUUUUUAUAUUUUCCACUCUAUAUUUCAAUAAGGGUAAAAAGCUGAAUUGAUAGGCUUAAUUUAUUUAUGCUAAAAUGAGUAUUUUUUAAUUAGCAUGUGCGGGUAAAUGUUAAAAGUGCCCACAGUAAUAUGCAAUUUUGAGAUUGAAAUGAGGGGAAGGAACUCGGCAAAUUUUAGCUUCGCCUGUUUAUCAAAAACAUGGCUCCUUGUUACUUUAAUAUGGGGAGUCAGACCUGCCCAGUGAAAUUUUUUAACGGCCGCGGUACCCUGACCGUGCAAAGGUAGCAUAAUCAUUUGCCUUAUAAUUGAAGGCUUGUAUGAAUGGUUUGACGGGAGCAUUGCUGUCUCCUCCUCAAUAAAUAGAACUUGAUCUUUAGGUGAAGAGGCCUAAAUAUAAUUGAAAGACAAGAAGACCCUGUCGAGCUUAAAAACUAAGCUAGGAACAAAUAUAAAGCCUAAAUUUAUUGCUAGUUAUCUUUUUUGGUUGGGGCGACCGAGGAACAACAAGAGCUUCCUUUCUUACACUCUAACUUAUAGGUAUUGAUCCAGCCUAAAGCUGAUUAAAAAAAUUAGUUACCGCAGGGAUAACAGCAUAAUCUCUCUUGAGAGACCAAAUCGAAAGAGGGGGUUGUGACCUCGAUGUUGGACUAGAAUAUCCUAAAGAUGCAGA